AUGAACGCUGGCGGCGUGCCUAAUACCUGCAAGUCGAGCGAACGGACGAGAAGCUUGCUUCUCUGAUGUUAGCGGCGGACGGGUGAGUAACACGUGGAUAACCUACCUAUAAGACUGGGAUAACUUCGGGAAACCGGAGCUAAUACCGGAUGAUAUUUUGAACCGCAUGGUUCAAAAGUGAAAGACGGUCUUGCUGUCACUUAUAGAUGGAUCCGCGCUGCAUUAGCUAGUUGGUAAGGUAACGGCUUACCAAGGCAACGAUGCAUAGCCGACCUGAGAGGGUGAUCGGCCACACUGGAACUGAGACACGGUCCAGACUCCUACGGGAGGCAGCAGUAGGGAAUCUUCCGCAAUGGGCGAAAGCCUGACGGAGCAACGCCGCGCGAGUGAUGAAGGUCUUCGGAUCGUAAAACUCUGUUAUUAGGGAAGAACAUAUGUGUAAGUAACUGUGCACAUCUUGACGGUACCUAAUCAGAAAGCCACGGCUAACUACGUG
Molecule: ribosomal RNA, 496 nt
Filed under: uncultured bacterium
Lineage: Bacteria
Description: partial 16S ribosomal RNA
Rfam family: Bacterial small subunit ribosomal RNA
Source: RNAcentral